This 554-nucleotide ribosomal RNA is filed under the name uncultured bacterium. RNAcentral's name for it is "partial 16S ribosomal RNA". It matches the Rfam family "Bacterial small subunit ribosomal RNA", at positions 355 to 900 of the family's 1533-position model. The record is from RNAcentral.
UAGGGAAUCUUCCACAAUGGACGCAAGUCUGAUGGAGCAACGCCGCGUGAGUGAAGAAGGUCUUCGGAUCGUAAAGCUCUGUUGUUGGUGAAGAAGGAUAGAGGCAGUAACUGGUCUUUAUUUGACGGUAAUCAACCAGAAAGUCACGGCUAACUACGCGCCAGCAGCCGCGGUAAUACGUAGGUGGCAAGCGUUGUCCGGAUUUAUUGGGCGUAAAGCGAGCGCAGGCGGAAUGAUAAGUCUGAUGUGAAAGCCCACGGCUCAACCGUGGAACUGCAUCGGAAACUGUCAUUCUUGAGUGCAGAAGAGGAGAGUGGAACUCCAUGUGUAGCGGUGGAAUGCGUAGAUAUAUGGAAGAACACCAGUGGCGAAGGCGGCUCUCUGGUCUGCAACUGACGCUGAGGCUCGAAAGCAUGGGUAGCGAACAGGAUUAGAUACCCUGGUAGUCCAUGCCGUAAACGAUGAGCGCUAGGUGUUGGGGACUUUCCGGUCCUCAGUGCCGCAGCAAACGCAUUAAGCGCUCCGCCUGGGGAGUACGACCGCAAGGUUGAAAC